Molecule: long non-coding RNA, 604 nt
Organism: Micropterus dolomieu (smallmouth bass)
Lineage: Eukaryota; Metazoa; Chordata; Actinopteri; Centrarchiformes; Centrarchidae
Exons: 2
Source: RefSeq, a predicted model, not a curated record
ACACACACAUUCAGGGGGAAGCAACUGAAAGGUGCCUGUGCUUGUUCCUACAGGAAUCCACACGAACAUGGCCUCACAUCAUAUGUCACGGAAACUCAUAUUCAGGCUUAGAUGCACUCACACACACGCACAGGGACAUGCACAUUUACAUACACACCUAGACAGUUGAGUUAAUGAUGGGUAGAGGAAGCGAGAUUUGUUAGAACCUCAAGCCUCUGUCUUUAUACCUUAAUGAUGGUUAUUAUUCUGUCAUACUGUGACUCUCACUAUGCAGAAACGUUACUGACUGCAAUAUAUUUUCCUCUAUACACCAUAAUUACACAUGAUUGAUUAUGCAUGUGUGUGUCAUGAUGUGUGUAGGCAGUUCCCUAUUGCUGCUGAUAAUUACAGUGAUGACUGACAGCUGUAAUAAACAGAAUCACUGCUACACCUAGCGUUUUGCCCUAGGCUACCAGAAAUCAAGAAAAAAAAAAUGCAAAAAUAGACAGAGCUCUGAAGUUCAUUGUCAGUUGACAGUGCCCUAUGCUCACUGUGCUGUGCUUAAUUAAUUGUGAUGAAAGCAAAACAAAGGUAUGCAUUUUAAAUUAAAGAAUAUUUAAUUAGA